Molecule: non-coding RNA, 154 nt
Organism: Shinella sp. HZN7
Lineage: Bacteria; Pseudomonadati; Pseudomonadota; Alphaproteobacteria; Hyphomicrobiales; Rhizobiaceae
Source: Rfam
UGCCGGCUUUCCAACAGCCGGGGUUACUGAAGAGGCACACCUUCAUUGCCGGACGUGCGGUCGGGUUCUCCCGCCAAUCCAUGGCAGACAAAGCCGAAUUGAAGCCUAGGCGGGCUUCGGUUCACCGUUCGCGCAUGAUGCGCAUGCUUGGUUC